This 301-nucleotide ribosomal RNA is filed under the name uncultured bacterium. RNAcentral describes it as "partial 16S ribosomal RNA". It matches the Rfam family "Bacterial small subunit ribosomal RNA", at positions 509 to 809 of the family's 1533-position model. The record is from RNAcentral.
CAGUCGCCGCGGGAAUACGUAGGUGGCAAGCGUUGUCCGGAAUUAUUGGGCGUAAAGGGCUCGCAGGCGGUUUCUUAAGUCUGAUGUGAAAGCCCCCGGCUCAACCGGGGAGGGUCAUUGGAAACUGGGAAACUUGAGUGCAGAAGAGGAGAGUGGAAUUCCACGUGUAGCGGUGAAAUGCGUAGAGAUGUGGAGGAACACCAGUGGCGAAGGCGACUCUCUGGUCUGUAACUGACGCUGAGGAGCGAAAGCGUGGGGAGCGAACAGGAUUAGAUACCCGGGUAGUCCCUGUCUCUUAUAU